This 45-nucleotide non-coding RNA is filed under the name Trichobilharzia regenti. The record is from RNAcentral. Lineage: Eukaryota; Metazoa; Platyhelminthes; Trematoda; Strigeidida; Schistosomatidae.
AUCCAGUCGACGAGUCCCAAAUGGGACGAAAUGCGCAUCCCUGAU